AUUGAACGCUGGCGGCAGGCCUAACACAUGCAAGUCGAGCGGAUGAAGGGAGCUUGCUCCUGGAUUCAGCGGCGGACGGGUGAGUAAUGCCUAGGAAUCUGCCUGGUAGUGGGGGAUAACGUCCGGAAACGGGCGCUAAUACCGCAUACGUCCUGAGGGAGAAAGUGGGGGAUCUUCGGACCUCACGCUAUCAGAUGAGCCUAGGUCGGAUUAGCUAGUUGGUGGGGUAAAGGCCCACCAAGGCGACGAUCCGUAACUGGUCUGAGAGGAUGAUCAGUCACACUGGAACUGAGACACGGUCCAGACUCCUAUGGGAGGCAGCAGUGGGGAAUAUUGGACAAUGGGCGAAAGCCUGAUCCAGCCAUGCCGCGUGUGUGAAGAAGGUCUUCGGAUUGUAAAGCACUUUAAGUUGGGAGGAAGGGCAGUAAGUUAAUACCUUGCUGUUUUGACGUUACCAACAGAAUAAGCACCGGCUAACUUCGUG
RNAcentral lists this ribosomal RNA (484 nucleotides) under uncultured bacterium. RNAcentral's name for it is "partial 16S ribosomal RNA". It matches the Rfam family "Bacterial small subunit ribosomal RNA", at positions 30 to 507 of the family's 1533-position model. The record is from RNAcentral.